RNAcentral lists this ribosomal RNA (432 nucleotides) under uncultured bacterium. Its description in RNAcentral is "partial 16S ribosomal RNA". It matches the Rfam family "Bacterial small subunit ribosomal RNA", at positions 338 to 795 of the family's 1533-position model. The record is from RNAcentral.
CCUACGGGUGGCAGCAGUGAGGAAUAUUGGUCAAUGGGCGAGAGCCUGAACCAGCCAAGUCGCGUGAAGGAAGAAGGAUUAUGGUUCGUAAACUUCUUUUAUAGGGGAAUAUGUACCCUACGAAUAAGGAUCGGCUAACUCCGUGCCAGCAGCCGCGGUAAUACGGAGGAUCCAAGCGUUAUCCGGAUUUAUUGGGUUUAAAGGGUGCGUAGGUGGUUACUUAAGUCAGCGGUGAAAGUUUGUGGCUCAACCAUAAAAUUGCCGUUGAAACUGGGCAACUUGAGUAUAUUUGAGGUAGGCGGAAUGCGUGGUGUAGCGGUGAAAUGCUUAGAUAUCACGCAGAACUCCAAUUGCGAAGGCAGCUUACUAAACUAUACUGACACUGAAGCACGAAAGCGUGGGUAUCAAACAGGAUUAGAUACCCGAGUAGUC